AUGGGGCGUGACUUGCUUUUUUCAGAGGACUUCAACCAAAUAUACAUUAAGACUUUAAUGGAUCUUUUGUGUCAGUGCCAGAAUCUGAGAAAAGAUGUCUUCAGUGUGAAGGAAAGGGGUUUUCAGUCUUCCCAGCUCCUUGUGGGAUAUCUACAUCCUUGGCUGCCUCAUAAGAAGACAAUGUGGAAGGUAAUAAAUGCUUGCUGUUUUGUUUUGUUUUGUUUUUUUAUUUUUUUUAAAUUUUUAAAUUUUUAAAUUCAAUUAGCCAACUUAUAAUAAAUACAUCCUUAGUUUUGGACGUAGCA
RNAcentral lists this long non-coding RNA (305 nucleotides) under Ursus maritimus (polar bear). RNAcentral's name for it is "lncRNA (ENSUMAG00000000560.1)". The record is from RNAcentral. Lineage: Eukaryota; Metazoa; Chordata; Mammalia; Carnivora; Ursidae.